GACGAACGCUGGCGGCAGGCCUAAUACAUGCAAGUCGAGCGCUCUAGCAAUAGGGAGCGGCGCACGGGUUCGUAACGCGUGGGAAUAUGCCUUUAGGUACGGAACAACCAAGGGAAACUUUGGCUAAUACCGUAUAAUAUCUUAGGAUCAAAGAUUCAUCGCCUAAAGAUUAGCCCGCGUCUGAUUAGCUAGUUGGUGGGGUAAAGGCCUACCAAGGCGACGAUCAGUAGCUGGUCUGAGAGGAUGAUCAGCCACACUUGGACUGAGACACGGCCCAGACUCCUACGGGAGGCAGCAGUGGGGAAUAUUGGACAAUGGGCGAAAGCCUGAUCCAGCAAUGCCGCGUGAGUGAUGAAGGCCUUAGGGUUGUAAAGCUCUUUUACCAGGGAUGAUAAUGACAGUACCUGGAGAAUAAGCUCCGGCUAACUCCGUGCCAGCAGCCGCAGUAA
This 449-nucleotide ribosomal RNA is filed under the name uncultured bacterium. Its description in RNAcentral is "partial 16S ribosomal RNA". It matches the Rfam family "Bacterial small subunit ribosomal RNA", at positions 28 to 523 of the family's 1533-position model. The record is from RNAcentral.